Molecule: unclassified non-coding RNA, 611 nt
Filed under: Philadelphus pekinensis
Lineage: Eukaryota; Viridiplantae; Streptophyta; Magnoliopsida; Cornales; Hydrangeaceae
Description: sequence contains ITS1, 5.8S rRNA gene, ITS2
Rfam family: 5.8S ribosomal RNA (bases 216-371)
Source: RNAcentral
AACCUGCAAAAGCAGUAUGACCCGCGAACAUGUGAAAAAUAACCCGGGGUGCCUCGUGUACCCCACUGCCUGGGCGCUCGCUCCUAGCGGGUGCGCUCCGGGCGCAACAACAACCCCCGGCGCGAAUUGCGCCAAGGAAAACCAAUGACUAUAACUUCCCAUGCUGCCCCGUUCUACGAGUGUGUGCUUGGGCAAUUGCUUCUCUUACAAAACACGACUCUCGGCAACGGAUAUCUCGGCUCUCGCAUCAAUGAAGAACGUAGCGAAAUGCGAUACUUGGUGUGAAUUGCAUAAUCUCGUGAACCAUCGAGUCUUUGAACGCAAGUUGCGCCCAAAGCCAUUAAGCCGAAGGCACGUCUGCCUGGGCGUCUCGCAACGCGUCGCCCCCAACCCCCUGUCCUCCGUACAUCAGGGUGCGUUGUGGGAGGAUGAUGGUCUCCCGUGUGCAACAGCUUGCGGUUGGCCUAAAAGUGAAGUCUCCGACGAUGGAUAGUCACGACACGUGGUGGUUGAACAACCUUGUCAUUACCUGUCGUUAGCGAACCCGUUGUCGGGCGUCUCCAAGACCCUAAAGCGCAUUACCAAUGCGCAUCGACUGCGACCCCAGGUCA